AGUGAACGCUGGCGGUAGGCCUAACACAUGCCAGUCGAACGGCAGCACAGUAAGAGCUUGCUCUUACGGGUGGCGAGUGGCGGACGGGUGAGGAAUACAUCGGAAUCUACUUUUUCGUGGGGGAUAACGUAGGGAAACUUACGCUAAUACCGCAUACGACCUACGGGUGAAAGCAGGGGAUCUUCGGACCUUGCGCGAUUGAAUGAGCCGAUGUCGGAUUAGCUAGUUGGCGGGGUAAAGGCCCACCAAGGCGACGAUCCGUAGCUGGUCUGAGAGGAUGAUCAGCCACACUGGAACUGAGACACGGUCCAGACUCCUACGGGAGGCAGCAGUGUGGAAUAUUGGACAAUGGGCGCAAGCCUGAUCCAGCCAUACCGCGUGGGUGAAGAAGGCCUUCGGGUUGUAAAGCCCUUUUGUUGGGAAAGAAAAGCAGCAGGUUAAUACCCCGCUGUUCUGACGGUACCCAAAGAAUAAGCACCGGCUAACUUCGUG
This 492-nucleotide ribosomal RNA is filed under the name uncultured bacterium. RNAcentral's name for it is "partial 16S ribosomal RNA". It matches the Rfam family "Bacterial small subunit ribosomal RNA", at positions 29 to 507 of the family's 1533-position model. The record is from RNAcentral.